UACGAAGGGGGCGAGCGUUGUUCGGAAUUACUGGGCGUAAAGGGCGCGUAGGCGGUGUGUCAAGUCAGGCGUGAAAGCCCCGGGCUCAACCUGGGAACGGCGCUUGAGACUGGCACGCUCGAGUUCGGGAGAGGAUGGUGGAAUUCCCAGUGUAGAGGUGAAAUUCGUAGAUAUUGGGAAGAACACCGAUGGCGAAGGCAGCCAUCUGGACCGACACUGACGCUGAGGCGCGAAAGCGUGGGGAGCGAACAGG
RNAcentral lists this ribosomal RNA (253 nucleotides) under uncultured bacterium. RNAcentral describes it as "partial 16S ribosomal RNA". It matches the Rfam family "Bacterial small subunit ribosomal RNA", at positions 524 to 776 of the family's 1533-position model. The record is from RNAcentral.